This 253-nucleotide ribosomal RNA is filed under the name uncultured bacterium. RNAcentral's name for it is "partial 16S ribosomal RNA". It matches the Rfam family "Bacterial small subunit ribosomal RNA", at positions 524 to 776 of the family's 1533-position model. The record is from RNAcentral.
UACGUAGGGUCCGAGCGUUGUCCGGAAUUAUUGGGCGUAAAGAGCUCGUAGGCGGCUCGUCGCGUCGACUGUGAAAACUCGGGGCUUAACCCUGGGCCUGCAGUCGAUACGGGCGGGCUAGAGUUCGGUAGGGGAGACUGGAAUUCCUGGUGUAGCGGUGAAAUGCGCAGAUAUCAGGAGGAACACCGGUGGCGAAGGCGGGUCUCUGGGCCGAUACUGACGCUGAGGAGCGAAAGCGUGGGGAGCAAACAGG